RNAcentral lists this non-coding RNA (29 nucleotides) under Rattus norvegicus (Norway rat). Lineage: Eukaryota; Metazoa; Chordata; Mammalia; Rodentia; Muridae. The record is from RNAcentral.
CUCCCAGUAAAGUUUGGUGAAAGGUGUUC